RNAcentral lists this ribosomal RNA (469 nucleotides) under uncultured bacterium. Its description in RNAcentral is "bacterial SSU rRNA". It matches the Rfam family "Bacterial small subunit ribosomal RNA", at positions 329 to 795 of the family's 1533-position model. The record is from RNAcentral.
CGCCAGACUCCUACGGGAGGCAGCAGUGAGGAAUAUUGGUCAAUGGCCGAGAGGCUGAACCAGCCAAGUCGCGUGAGGGAAGACGGCCCUACGGGUUGUAAACCUCUUUUGCCGGGGAGCAACGGGGUCCUUGCGAGGGCCCGAUGAGAGUACCCGGAGAAAAAGCAUCGGCUAACUCCGUGCCAGCAGCCGCGGUAAUACGGAGGAUGCGAGCGUUAUCCGGAUUUAUUGGGUUUAAAGGGUGCGUAGGCGGAAUGCCAAGUCAGCGGUAAAAUCGCGGGGCUCAACCUCGCUCCGCCGUUGAAACUGGCGUUCUUGAGUGGGCGAGAAGUAUGCGGAAUGCGUGGUGUAGCGGUGAAAUGCAUAGAUAUCACGCAGAACUCCGAUUGCGAAGGCAGCAUACCGGCGCCCAACUGACGCUGAAGCACGAAAGCGUGGGUAUCGAACAGGAUUAGAUACCCCUGUAGAC